AAUAGCUAUGGCUGUUGUCAUAAACGUCAGAAAGACAAACAUCAAGUACGCUGCGGAACAUCGGCAGACAAUUAACAUCUACAAUACAAAACAAUAAAAAUCUCCAUAAAUGUGACAAACUCAAUAACUUCAUUAUGGACUAACCCAUGUAACGUGGUAACGGCUGGCAAGGCAACAGUGGAUUCGGCGGAGGACUGCCCUCUAUUGGUGUUGCACGCUCUUCUAAUGCCGGCUGGUCUGGCUCCGGAGGUGGACUGUACCGGUCUUCCUUCGGUAAUGGAGCAAGGAGCGGAUGGCGCGGAAAUGCUGCAUUCGGAUCCAACGGCCGAAGACAAGAUAUAGAUUUAAAUGGAGGCGAAAGAAGACGUUCCGACAACGGAUGGAAAGCGAGUGGCUUCGGGUCAAACGGUGGGCUCGCCGGAAAAUAUACCAGGUCGAAUGCUGGGUGGAAUGCCAAUUUCGCAAAUUUUGCUGAACCGGAAAGGCUAGAUUCAUCGAAUGGUUGGGACAGCACUGGCGGAGGCUUCUCAUCCAACGGCUGGCAGUCCUCGAGCUGGUAGAACGCAGAAAAGUGCAUUUGAUACUGAGUGCCGUUCUAUUUUUCUUCCUGUUUGCCUGUUUAGACAAUUAACCGGACCUUUCUGUAUAAAUGACAAUGAUAUUUAAAAAGCAUCCAUUAAAAUAAAUUUGAAUAUUCA
Long non-coding RNA from Trichoplusia ni (cabbage looper), 698 nucleotides. RefSeq lists it as uncharacterized. The transcript has 2 exons. The record is from RefSeq and is a predicted model, not a curated record. Lineage: Eukaryota; Metazoa; Arthropoda; Insecta; Lepidoptera; Noctuidae.